This 414-nucleotide long non-coding RNA is filed under the name Heterocephalus glaber (naked mole-rat). Its description in RNAcentral is "lncRNA (ENSHGLG00000039741.1)". The record is from RNAcentral. Lineage: Eukaryota; Metazoa; Chordata; Mammalia; Rodentia; Bathyergidae.
UUUAGAAAGCACAUUUAAUCUUUACUGGCUCCCCUAGGCUUCAGUGAAGAAGGAGAAGGCAAGGGAAAAAAAAAAAGAAGAGAGAGGAAAAAGAUUGUAAGGGAGGCUGCUGACGGACAGCAAGCAUCAGGCACAAAUCAGCGACAAGUUGAAUUUUCCUAGACCACACUGCCCCCUUUCUUCUCGGCUCUCUCCCUAGGCUCCUGGAAAGCCCGAGUGUCUGGUUACAGGAGGAAUCACUUGAUCCCCAAAGUCUUCUGAGAAAAUAUGUGAGGAAAAAGUCAAGUACACACAUCAUGAUGGCAGAGCAGAGAAGAGGUGGCUGAGAACACGUUGAGAAGGCUGUGCUGGGGGUGGAUCUGUCCCAUUUGUCCCUCCCUAUCAUGUUCAGCUGUUUGACACCAGUGAAUUUGG